CCUUUAUUCACAGAGAAAUGCCAGGUAGAAAGACAAUAAGCAUGUAUCCAUGUGUAUAUUUUCAACUUCCUAAAGGCCAUCAAAUUGGAAAGGGAGUGAGUUUACUUUACUCAAACAUCUUCUGACUUGAAGACAAGGUAACCCAGGAAAAGCCUUUCCUUUAAAAAAAAAAUACUGUGCUUGUUGGUGUGACUCUGUGUGGAUUGUCUGGCAGAUCUUUAACAAUCUCUUGUACCUCUGAGUUAUUUUGAUUUUAAAAUAUUAGCUCAUAACCAAUCUUAAGCUGUCAAAACUAAAGGAUUGUACAAAAUAGCUUCAAGGUUACAUAAACAGAGUAGCUGGGAAGUGAUUCGGCAACAUGCAUUCAUCUCAAGAGCACAAGGCAUUUAUUUUUUAAAGAAAUUUUCCACCCAAAGACUGGCCUUCUUUAUUUUGGGAAGCACGGGUUUGAUGGGAUUUAAAAACUCUGUGUAAGGAGAAGGGAGGUCAGAUGGCAGAAGACAAACUGGACAGAGGAGGGCAGAAAAGGAGCUGGGGCAGCAAAUGCCAAGCACAUGUUCAAUAAGUUUUAUGAUGAUAUACAACUGGGGAUGGGUGGGAGCUGAGAGAGGCAAGUGGUAUAAAUUAGGGCGUGCUUAUGCUAAUGGGGUAAAUAACUGGAGAGAAAAAUAAAGGAGAGGAGGUAAGAAUGAGCCUUCAAGCAGCCAAAGGCUGGAGGGAUUUGGCCACUCGUUCCCCCUCCACCGAUCCCUGCUGCUGGGCAUGGUGAUAAAACACGCGGCAAAUGACAAGGCAUGGGAACCGGCGAGCAUCGCCUGGCGAGGUCGUGGAGUGUUCUCCCAUGCAAUGUGGUCAUGCAAAGUCCCACCCAUUGACUCACUGUUUGGGCCAAAGAGGUAACCUUAGUCUGGCUAUUUGAGGCUGUGUGCGCAACGCGCUACAGCUCAGCAAACAUUCAAGACCAGGCUGUGCUCCAAAAAGCUCCUAAUCCAAGGAGGAACUUGCAGCAAGAAAUAAUGAACUCUUGCCUGAGGGCUGGGGGUAAAAGCCAGAGCUGCGCGGUGCGAAGCUGAAGGGUGUUGGGACUUAGGAAUCCAGCUCAGCUGCGGAUGGAGCCAGCUGUGAAAUACCAUUGCCAAUCAAUCUUCCGGGCUGCACAUGUUGCAAGACAUCCCCUUUCACUUCCCAGAAGCUGUUUAGACCCAAAGGGUAGGGUCGGGCCCGGCGUUAAGGGACAUAGCUGUGAUUUCUCGCUGGGGCACAAUUUCCUCCGGUCCCGCACAGAAAUAUCUCCAGCGGUGAAGAGCCUUUGCAGCCACCAAGCCACAUGGAUAAAAGAAAUCUUGCCACAUAGCUUGGGAGGCCCUAAUGGGUGAGGGCCCCUCUGCAGCUGAAAUGUGCUUGGGUGCGCUCACAGGAGGCCUGUGUGGGCUUGCUGUUGGUGCCUGUCGUGUUCCCAUCGCUGUCACGAUGGCCCCAGCUCAGAUCCACCGGCCGCUCGUGCUCCUCUGGACGAGGUCGUCUGUGGGAAAUGCACUACCACCAACGAAGCUUGGAUGUCCCCUCAUCUCAGAGCAUGUUGGCUUGUGCCAAGCUCCUCUUUGGAUCUGAAUUAAACUUAGUCAGCUUCUCUAUAUGCCCCUCAGAUUUGCAGUUUGAGGAUUGCACCCAAAUAUUCGAGGCAGGGACACCAAAGCCAACAGGAUCCCAAAGGGUCCGGGACCCUUGCUGGCAGAGCUAACCUUCCUCCCUGGGGACACUUAGGACUCACCCAGCGACCCUAGACCUUAUCUACAAAGGCACAAAAGACGGGCUGUUAGCUCAGGAUUUGCAAAGCAUCAGGCAGGGCAGCAGGAGAUCCCACUGCUCCUAUACCCAGAGCCUCAGUGGCCUCUGCAAAUCCCUCCCAUUCAGUUACAGCACUCGAUUCCCAGCCUCUCUGCUUGCUCACAAUUAUUUAUUGUGUUGGGUUUGUUUUCUGUUUUCCAGACAAAACAGGAAACAGUUCUGUCUGAGUUUCCUUGCUUUGAAUGCCGGUGAAGUGUGCGUGUCUACGGCUGCAUGUGAGGGAAAUGAGGUGCAUCUCUCGUAAUACUGAAACCAAAUCCAAGUUUCCCACAGUCAAAGCCUACUAAAAAUGUAAUUUUUUUUUCCAGCAAUGAGAAGACCUUGAAGACAUUGUGUGUGCUGUGAAUCAGAGCAGAUUUACCUCACUGCGAGCUCCCCAGCACAGGCCUGUAGAAGACAGCUCAAGGUGCUUCCAGCCAGGGAGCCACCGGCAGCACUGAAGUAUUGAGGUUUAAUGUGUUACCAGAAGGAAGGUGGCUUCAGCAAAUACAUUUAAUACUGCAAUUGCCCAGGGCUAGAGAGGAACACCCAGUCGGUGCCUGCAUUACAGCUGACCGAUGGCGAUUUGCCCAGCUGCUCAAUGGCCCUUGAAUUUUUCUCCAUUGCUGCCACUGGAACUGCAUUUCAGGGCAUCUCCGCUGCCAAAUCAAUUCACUUUGCUCAGGUGCACAGCACUGCAGCAAUUCAUAGCAGAGAGACCAGAACCAGGCCUCCAUGCACCAAAGGCUAAAGGUUCGAUAACCCAAACCCUGACAUUGCCAUGAUAGCUUUUUUCUUCCUGAGGCUCCUAAGUAUUAUUGCUCUUAUUAUUUUAAUUGACCUCUGAGAAAAGAGCAGUGUCAAAACAGGAGCUCAGAUUACUGAAGUUAUUAUCCUGUUGUGUACAAUGAGUGAUUAUUUAAUAUAUAUAUAUAUAAAAACUCUUUAUUUUGCAAAGGCAGCAGUUCAAUAAAUAAUUAAUGUUUCUUAAUCCUGUAGCUAUUUCUCUCAUUGUAAAAAAUUAAUUGGUUUUCCAUCAUCUGUUUCCCUCUAACCUGGAGGUAUCUGGCAAAGCAUUCGUGCCCCUGCUUAAACAUGCUCCUUGUAAUCUUUGUCAUGCCCAUGGUUCAGAAUCUGGGGGAUAAACAAACUAAUCAGAGAUAUUAGAGGCACCUCCAGGAAGAUUUAGUCAUCGCAACACUUUGCGCUUAUGCAGCAUCCAUCUGUCUGGGAAUAAUUAAGCCUCUCAACCCCUGAUGAGGUAAAUGCUGUGCUCAUUGGUGUGCAGACUGGUAAACAGAGUCACAGAGAGGUUACACAGUUUGCCCCAGACCACACAGUAAGUCAAUGGCACUGCCAGAAAGGGAAGAUUUCCCCAAUUUCUGUGUCACUAUGAGGCCACAUCACCUCUGAGAAGUGUUGAAAACUCAGGGGCAAACGUGAAGGGGCUGCGUUUUGUCCACCAGCUCCAGGAAGCACCUGGUAUUAACAGUAUUAACACUUAACAUCUUGGAAAUGCCGCAUGUGGACAUAGGCGAAAGGCAGAAUGGCUGGCUCUUAGGUUGCAAAUGCUUUUACACCCCCAAGUGACAAAAAGUAGCUGAGUUGUGGAAAGGAGAACUAACUCAGAGCUCCUGGCAAACUCGUACUGGAUUAAGUGCUUACUUCUGCUCUGUCUGCUGGUCAUGCACAGAUGACAUGGCCCACAAGCUGCCUUCCCUACAGUGGGGACACAGCCAGGGACAGGGGGCUCAGUUGG
Molecule: long non-coding RNA, 3586 nt
Organism: Oxyura jamaicensis (ruddy duck)
Lineage: Eukaryota; Metazoa; Chordata; Aves; Anseriformes; Anatidae
Exons: 3
Source: RefSeq, a predicted model, not a curated record